RNAcentral lists this ribosomal RNA (253 nucleotides) under uncultured bacterium. RNAcentral's name for it is "partial 16S ribosomal RNA". It matches the Rfam family "Bacterial small subunit ribosomal RNA", at positions 524 to 776 of the family's 1533-position model. The record is from RNAcentral.
UACGAAGGGGGCUAGCGUUGUUCGGAAUCACUGGGCGUAAAGCGCACGUAGGCGGUUCUUUAAGUCAGGGGUGAAAUCCCGAGGCUCAACCUCGGAACUGCCUUUGAUACUGGGGAUCUCGAGUCCGGGAGAGGUGAGUGGAACUGCGAGUGUAGAGGUGAAAUUCGUAGAUAUUCGCAAGAACACCAGUGGCGAAGGCGGCUCACUGGCCCGGAACUGACGCUGAGGUGCGAAAGCUAGGGUAGCAAACGGG